RNAcentral lists this small nucleolar RNA (133 nucleotides) under Castor canadensis (American beaver). Its description in RNAcentral is "Small nucleolar RNA SNORA51 (ENSCCNG00000017417.1)". It matches the Rfam family "Small nucleolar RNA SNORA51". Rfam says of the family: ACA51 is a member of the H/ACA class of snoRNA that guide the sites of modification of uridines to pseudouridines. The record is from Rfam by way of RNAcentral. Lineage: Eukaryota; Metazoa; Chordata; Mammalia; Rodentia; Castoridae.
GACCUCCUGGUGCUUACCACAGGCUGUGUUCUUACACUGACUGAAUAAAUAAAGAAAGGAAAAGUAAACCUACCCUAUAUGUACUUCAAUCCAGGACCUGGGCCUGGCCUAUAUUGUGAAUGGGAAGACAUGG